This 488-nucleotide ribosomal RNA is filed under the name Dolabellopsocus sp. 3.2.2004.6. RNAcentral's name for it is "partial 16S ribosomal RNA". The record is from RNAcentral. Lineage: Eukaryota; Metazoa; Arthropoda; Insecta; Psocodea; Dolabellopsocidae.
UCUUUUCGUUUAAAUUUUAAGGUCUAACCUGCUCACUGAAAAUUUUAAAGGGCCGCGGUAUUUUGACUGUGCAAAGGUAGCAUAAUCAAUAGUUUUUUAAUUGAAAACUGGAAUGAACGGUUGAUUGAAAAUUUAAUUUUCUUUAUAUUAAUAAUUGAAUUUAAAUUUUAAAUGAAAAUUUUUAAAUGAAUUUAUAAGACGAGAAGACCCUAUAGAUUUUUAUUAUAAUAGUUUAUAUAUAUAAAUAUUUCUUAAAUAAUUUAAUUGGGGUGAUUUUUUUAUUUGAUAAACUGAAUAUGUUUGAUAAAUUAUAUUAGAAGAAGUUAUGAUCCAUAAUUUUUGAUAAAUAGAUUAAAUUACCUUAGGGAUAACAGCGUAAUUUUAUUUACAAGUUCAUAUUUAUAAUAAAGUUUGCGACCUCGAUGUUGAAUUAAGAUUAAUUAUUGGAGCAUAAGAUAAUAAAUUUAGUCUGUUCGACUAUUAAAUUC